RNAcentral lists this ribosomal RNA (459 nucleotides) under uncultured bacterium. RNAcentral's name for it is "partial 16S ribosomal RNA". It matches the Rfam family "Bacterial small subunit ribosomal RNA", at positions 338 to 795 of the family's 1533-position model. The record is from RNAcentral.
CCUACGGGUGGCUGCAGUGAGGAAUAUUGGUCAAUGGGCGGAAGCCUGAACCAGCCAAGCCGCGUGCAGGAUGACGGCCCUACGGGUUGUAAACCGCUUUUAUACGGGAACAACGCGCCUUACGUGUAGGGGUCUGCAUGUAUCGUAAGAAUAAGGACCGGCUAAUUCCGUGCCAGCAGCCGCGGUAAUACGGAGGGUGCGGGCGUUAUCCGGAUUUAUUGGGUUUAAAGGGAGCGUAGGCGGACGGUAAAGUCAGCGGGAAAAUUGCGGGGCUCAACCCCGUCGUGCCGUGGCAACUGGCGGGCUUGAGUCGGCGGGAAGUAGGCGGAAUUCGUGGUGUAGCGGUGAAAUGCAUAGAUAUGACGAAGAACCCCGAUUGCGAAGGCAGCGUGCUGGAGCGGGACUGACGCUGAUGCUCGAAAGCGCGGGUAUCGAACAGGAUUAGAUACCCUUGUAGUC